UGAACGCUGGCGGCGUGCCUAAUACAUGCAAGUCGAGCGAACAGAUGAGGAGCUUGCUCCUCUGACGUUAGCGGCGGACGGGUGAGUAACACGUGGAUAACCUACCUAUAAGACUGGGAUAACUUCGGGAAACCGGAGCUAAUACCGGAUAAUAUAUUGAACCGCAUGGUUCAAUAGUGAAAGACGGUUUUGCUGUCACUUAUAGAUGGAUCCGCGCCGCAUUAGCUAGUUGGUAAGGUAACGGCUUACCAAGGCAACGAUGCGUAGCCGACCUGAGAGGGUGAACGGCCACACUGGAACUGAGACACGGUCCAGACUCCUACGGGAGGCAGCAGUAGGGAAUCUUCCGCAAUGGGCGAAAGCCUGACGGAGCAACGCCGCGUGAGUGAUGAAGGUCUUCGGAUCGUAAAACUCUGUUAUUAGGGAAGAACAAAUGUGUAAGUAACUAUGCACGUCUUGACGGUACCUAAUCAGAAAGCCACGGCUAACUACGUG
This 495-nucleotide ribosomal RNA is filed under the name uncultured bacterium. Its description in RNAcentral is "partial 16S ribosomal RNA". It matches the Rfam family "Bacterial small subunit ribosomal RNA", at positions 30 to 507 of the family's 1533-position model. The record is from RNAcentral.